GAGUGUGAAGCUUCUCAAUGGAUCAAAACAGAACUUCUCAUACAUAGGAUGUAUUUAUGCAUUUAUACUCUUUUUCAAGGCCGAAAAGGCAUUUCUUAUGCGCAGAAUUCGUGAGAUCCUUCCAGAAAUGAUUGAUGAGACAAUCUGCAUGUAAAUGGAAGACAUUUUCCCACCCUUUCAGUCCCUAUCAAUGGUUGGCUUCUACUAGUGUACAGCCGCCCACAUGAAGUGGCCGACACAUUGUUGUGGAUGAGGAUGUACAUGUGGGAAAAUAAUAGCACAUCAUGUUGAGAAUUAUUGCAGCUGUCAUACAGUGUUUGCCCGCUUUUGGAUGGCAUGUGUUACACAUACAUUGUCACCAAAAACAUGUUCCUUGGAACUCAAGUUGAUGAGACAAUCUGCAUCUAUUGCUUGCCAGGAGGCAGCCAUGAUACGAUUGGAUAUGAGGAUGUUGUAUUCCGUCCCGUUUAGAAGACAGGUACAUCUCCGUUUCUUGUGUCAGUAUCAGCCGGCAACAGA
Magnolia sinica is the source of this 519-nucleotide long non-coding RNA. RefSeq lists it as uncharacterized. The transcript is spliced from 3 exons. The record is from RefSeq and is a predicted model, not a curated record. Lineage: Eukaryota; Viridiplantae; Streptophyta; Magnoliopsida; Magnoliales; Magnoliaceae.